Molecule: microRNA precursor, 84 nt
Organism: Rhinopithecus bieti (black snub-nosed monkey)
Lineage: Eukaryota; Metazoa; Chordata; Mammalia; Primates; Cercopithecidae
Source: Ensembl
UCUCAGGCUGUGACCCUCUACAGGGAGGCACUUUCUUUGGUCAGAAAAAGAAAGUGCAUCCUUUUAGAGUGUUACUGUUUGAGA